AAUGAAUGUUGGCGGCGUGGAUUAGGCAUGCAAGUCGAGCGAGAACCCCGCAAGGGGGGACAGCGGCGAAAGGGACAGUAAUGUGUAGAUUAUCUGCCCUCAGGUCCGGGAUAGCUGCGGGAAACUGCAGGUAAUACCGGAUAACAUCUCCGGAUCAAAGGUGUGAUUCCGCCUGAGGAUGAGUCUGCAUCCUAUUAGCUAGUUGGUGGGGUAAUGGCCUACCAAGGCAUUGAUGGGUAGCAGGUGUGAGAGCACGACCUGCGUCAUUGGGACUGAGACACUGCCCAGACACCUACGGGGGGGGGCAGGCGGGAAUCCUCGGCAAUGGGGGGAAGGCUUAACGGGGGACGGCGCGUGGUGGAUGAAGGGCUUCGGGGUGUAAACCACUGUCAGAGGGGAUGAAAUGCAGGUGGGUUCUCCCAUCUGUUUGACAUAGCCUCAGAGGAAGGACGGGCUAAGUUCGUG
This 465-nucleotide ribosomal RNA is filed under the name uncultured bacterium. Its description in RNAcentral is "partial 16S ribosomal RNA". It matches the Rfam family "Bacterial small subunit ribosomal RNA", at positions 29 to 507 of the family's 1533-position model. The record is from RNAcentral.